Molecule: long non-coding RNA, 2409 nt
Filed under: Homo sapiens (human)
Lineage: Eukaryota; Metazoa; Chordata; Mammalia; Primates; Hominidae
Description: non-protein coding lnc-CAGE1-1:9
Source: RNAcentral
AUUCGCGGGCUGGGACAAAGGCGGCUGCAGCCGUGUCCAGCAGGCAGGGGACAGCCCCGCGCGGGCCCGACGCCCCCUCUGACCACCCGCCCGGGCUCGCGGGAGGGGAGAAAGGUACGACCGAGUCCCUGUUCGCAGGACAGGGGCCAACCUGUCCCCGCACGCGUCAGGACACCCGGUCCUGCUCCCAGCGCGGCCGGGAAGUUCUUUCGGGACCUGGGGCAAAAAAACCUUUCCACCUUCGGGACCCGAGUCUCCCAGUCGUCCAGAGGAGGACGGUCCCUCCCUGUCCCGCGAGCCCCGCAGCCCGCGCUCUCCGGGCAGGUACCCACCAGUAGCCGUCCGAGUUCUGGUCGGUGAUCACGCCGCGCCGAGAAUAGUACAUCCUGCUGGUGCCCCCGCCGCCGCUGGUCACCUCGUAGCGCAGGUCCGGGCCAGACUCGGCGCGGAUCAUGCGGCCCAGAGUGUUGAUCCGCGGGUGGGAGCCUCCGUUGCAGCUCAUGUCGGCGGGCAAUCGGGAGAGCGGCUCAGCGCCGAGGCAUAAGCGAGGCGGGCCGGCGCGGAGAAAGCGGAGGGGGCCAAGGAUAGGCGGACGGCCGGGGAACCGGGCGGGAGUGCGGAAGGCUCGCGAGGUCGCUGCUCGCUACCUGGGCCCUCCCGAGGCCGCUGCGAGCGCGGAGACGGCGACGGGCCGGGGGCAGGAGCGGGAGGAAAGCUGUGGCUCGGAGGGCGGCAAGGGCGCAGAGGAGCUGCGUCGGAGCUGGGUGUUGGUGUUGGUCGGCGGCGGAGCGAGUCUCCUCCCCGCUGGCACUGGGCGCCUAGGCCACACCUGGCCGGUUUCUUCCCAGGGUGGGGUGCGGCCGCCGCGCCUUCCCCGCCCCCCCGCGGGUGUCACCGACGCGCUCCGGCCGCCCCUCCCCACCUGCGCCCGCCGCCCGCGACUCCGCCCUGCGCCACCGAGGCCUGAGUAACACCGGGCGGGGCGGGGGCGGGGUCCCCGAGACCCAAGCGCCCUGGGCGAAGCCACCGCGGGGAGGACCUGCGCUCGCGGGGGCUGCUGCGCUCUGCGCUGGGGCCUCUCGGGCUGGGAAUGCGUGGCCCGGCUUUUGAGGAUUUCCUCGGUCCCCGGGCGGAAAUAGCUGGAAUGGAGGGGCCUCUCGAUUGGAGACUUACUGGUCAAAUAUUUACUUUUGUUGAUCACUGGAAACGCUACCUACCACGCAUUGACUAGGACCACAAAAACCACGACUUCCUGGAAAAGUCUUCACCGUAAAUAUUAAUCUCUUUGGCAUGAAGAGGAAAACACUGCAGCUAAUUUUUCAUGGGAUAACAAAAAUAUAAACUGCAAUUUCUUUUAUUUUUUCCCUUUCGAUGGUCUUUUUAAACGAGGAGUAAAGAUUUCAACGCCAGGUCCAUUUUCCAAAUUUUGUACCAGAACCUUGAGGAUGCUUGUCUCUCGCGCGCUUCUCCGCAGACCGAACCCUCUCCGGAACUCAGAGCUGUUCACCCAAGUCAGCGGAGGAGGCCUCCUGGGACUUGAGCCUGAGGGUGGCGAAGAACCCUAGGCAGAGAUCAUCAACUUGGUACCGAUGAGUGACGCGGAGCUUGAACAUUCCAGCGACUUGCUCCAGGGCCACUCCCAGUUAAGAGGCUGAGUGUUAACUGCAAGAGGCUGAGUGUUAACUACGCCGUUGGCUCCAGGAACCGAACCGGGUUUGGAUACAGACCCAGUCACACCAUCCAUGAAAAGCUGUUUCUAUAAUAUGAAAAAUUGUUAAAUGACGCUUUAGUAAAAGCCAUUUAAAGAUCUUUUCUAAUAAAUUUUUCAUCUUUCCAAACAAUGCCGCUAAUUACCUUCUGAUACAGUGCGUUUCCAAAAUGUUUAUGAACUGAAAACAAAAAUAAAAAACUACAUUUUUAUGUUGUAAAGGGAGUGGGGGGGACUUUCUAAAAUUUGUCGUAUUAUAGCACUUCUCAUGACAACUUGACCCUUUAGGCAUAAUUUUUGACAAAAUGUCUUGUUCUUUUUCUUUUUACAGCUGAACGUCUUAAAUUCAAGGAGUAAACACAUAUAAUGAGAUAAAAGUUUAUCACUGUUAGCACAACCAAUAAUUUGCAUCGUAGUCUCAAUUUCCUCGAAUCUUUAAUAAAACCAAAGUGGUCAAGUGUUUAAAUGAUUAUACAGAUUGAGUACCCCUUAUCCAAAAUGCUUGGGACCAGAAAUAUUUUGGAUUCUGGAUUUUCUUGGAUUUUGCAAUAGUUGCAUAGACGUAACGAGAGAUCUUUGGGGAUGGAACUCAAGCCUAAACAUGAAAUUUAUUUAUGUUUUCUAUAUGCCUUAUACACAUGGCCUGAAGGUAAUUUUAUACAAUAUUUUAGAUAAUUUUGUGCAUGAAACAAAGUUUUGAC